UACCAGCACCCCGAGUGGUCGGGACGAUUAUUGGGCCUAAAGCAUCCGUAGCCGGUUUUACAAGUCCUCCGUUAAAUCCAGCUGCUUACAGAUGGGCUGCGGAGGAUACUAUAAGACUAGGAGGCAGGAGAGGCAAGCGGUACUCAGUGGGUAGGGGUAAAAUCCGUUGAUCCAUUGAAGACCACCAGUGGCGAAGGCGGCUUGCCAGAAUGCGCUCGACGGUGAGGGAUGAAAGCUGGGGGAGCAAACCGG
Molecule: ribosomal RNA, 252 nt
Filed under: uncultured bacterium
Lineage: Bacteria
Description: partial 16S ribosomal RNA
Rfam family: Archaeal small subunit ribosomal RNA
Source: RNAcentral